RNAcentral lists this unclassified non-coding RNA (201 nucleotides) under Hevea brasiliensis (rubber tree). The record is from RNAcentral. Lineage: Eukaryota; Viridiplantae; Streptophyta; Magnoliopsida; Malpighiales; Euphorbiaceae.
UAUCGAUUGAAUUGAACAGUAUAGUUACUCAUACAUGGACUCUAAAGGAAAUCCGUCAAAUGCAUGCCCAUUAAUCAGCAAGAUCAAAAUUAAAACUUCCAAAGCUGGAAAAUUAAUAAACAUGCCCGGACCCGGAGGCAUAGUCACAAAGAGAUAUAGCUUCAAAGGAAGGCGUACCAACGCCAGGGUCAGUGUCGAUGA